This 486-nucleotide ribosomal RNA is filed under the name uncultured bacterium. Its description in RNAcentral is "partial 16S ribosomal RNA". It matches the Rfam family "Bacterial small subunit ribosomal RNA", at positions 28 to 507 of the family's 1533-position model. The record is from RNAcentral.
GAUGAACGCUAGCGGCAGGCUUAACACAUGCAAGUCGAGGGGCAGCGCGGGAUAGCAAUAUCCUGGCGGCGACCGGCGGACGGGUGCGUAACGCGUGAGCGACAUGCCCGUUGCCCGGGGACAACCGGUGGAAACGCCGACUAAUCCCCGAUGGGAUAUUGUGCCGCAUGGCACGAUAUUGAAAGUUACGGCGGCGACGGAUUGGCUCGCGUCCGAUUAGCUUGUUGGCGGGGUAACGGCCCACCAAGGCUGCGAUCGGUAGGGGUUCUGAGAGGAAGGCCCCCCACAAGGGGACUGAGACACGGCCCAUACGCCAACGGGAGGCAGCAGUGAGGAAUAUUGGUCAAUGGGCGGAAGCCUGAACCAGCCAUGCCGCGUGCGGGAAGGAGGCCCUAUGGGCUGUGAACCGCUUUUGCCUGGGGGCAAUAAGGGCGUCGCGCACGUCCGAUGAGGGUACCAGGCGAAUAAGCAUCGGCUAACUCCGUG